GAUGAACGCUGACAGAAUGCUUAACACAUGCAAGUCUUUGGCGAAGCUGUGCUUGCACUGCCUAGCCAAGGCGGACGGGUUAGUAACGCGUAAGGAACUUGCCCUGCAGUCAGGGAUAACAGACGGAAACGACUGAUAAGACCUGGUAAAGUCAGGCGGACUCAUUUCCAGCCUGAUGAAAAGAGAUGCUGCAGGAGAGCCUUGCGUCCUAUUAGCUUGUUGGUGGGGUAACGGCCCACCAAGGCGAUGAUAGGUAGCCGGCCUGAGAGGGUGGACGGCCACAAGGGGACUGGGAUCAGGCCCUUACUCCUUCGGGAGGCAGCCGUGGGGAAUAUUGGACAAUGGGGGCAAACCUGAUCCAGCAAUUCUGUGUGGAAGAUGAAGGUUUUCGGAUUGUAAAGCGCUUUCAGCAGGGAAGAAAAAAAUGACGGUACCUGCAGAAGAAGCGACGGCUAAAUACGUG
RNAcentral lists this ribosomal RNA (463 nucleotides) under uncultured bacterium. RNAcentral describes it as "partial 16S ribosomal RNA". It matches the Rfam family "Bacterial small subunit ribosomal RNA", at positions 28 to 507 of the family's 1533-position model. The record is from RNAcentral.